AACGAACGCUGGCGGCAGGCCUAACACAUGCAAGUCGAGCGCGCCCUUCGGGGUGAGCGGCGGACGGGUGAGUAACGCGUGGGAACGUGCCCUUCUCUGCGGAAUAGCCUCGGGAAACUGAGAGUAAUACCGCAUACGCCCUUUGGGGGAAAGAUUUAUCGGAGAAGGAUCGGCCCGCGUUGGAUUAGGUAGUUGGUGGGGUAAUGGCCCACCAAGCCGACGAUCCAUAGCUGGUUUGAGAGGAUGAUCAGCCACACUGGGACUGGGACACGGCCCAGACUCCUACGGGAGGCAGCAGUGGGGAAUCUUAGACAAUGGGGGCAACCCUGAUCUAGCCAUGCCGCGUGAGUGAUGAAGGCCUUAGGGUUGUAAAGCUCUUUCAGCUGGGAAGAUAAUGACGGUACCAGCAGAAGAAGCCCCGGCUAACUCCGUG
Molecule: ribosomal RNA, 433 nt
Filed under: uncultured bacterium
Lineage: Bacteria
Description: partial 16S ribosomal RNA
Rfam family: Bacterial small subunit ribosomal RNA
Source: RNAcentral